Molecule: small RNA, 2825 nt
Filed under: Pan troglodytes (chimpanzee)
Lineage: Eukaryota; Metazoa; Chordata; Mammalia; Primates; Hominidae
Description: retained intron
Source: RNAcentral
GUGGGUAGCUGCGGCGGGGCUGACCCGUCCCGAGUGCCAAAGCUGGGGUUCUGCUUGAGAUUUCCCUCGUGGUGCCAGGGUCCGGCGAGCGUCACGCCGAGGCCCAUUUUCCAGACGACCACGACGACGCCGGGGUCACAUCCCUGGGACCCUGGCCUGACUGCCCGGGACCUGCUUUUCCGCGGAGGGUACCGGUAUCGGAAGCGGCCCCGAGUCGUGCUGGAUGUUACUGAGCAGCCGGUUCCUCUUGGAUCAUGGAGACGUAGCCUUUGCGCCCCUGGGGAAGCUGAUGCUGGAGAAUUUCAAGCUGGAGGGAGUGGGGAGCCGCACUAAGAAGAAGACAGUGGUCAGUGUGAAGAAGCUGCUCCAGGACCUCGGUGGACACCAGCCCUGGGGGUGUCCCUGGGCUUACCUCAGCAACCGACAGCGCCGCUUCUCUAUCCUCGGGGGCCCCAUCCUGGGCACGUCGGUGGCGAGCCACUUGGCAGAGCUGCUGCACGAGGAGCUGGUGCUGCGGUGGGAGCAGCUGCUUCUGGAUGAGGCCUGCACUGGGGGCGCGCUGGCCUGGGUUCCUGGAAGGACACCCCAGUUCGGGCAGCUGGUCUACCCUGCUGGAGGCGCCCAGGACAGGCUGCAUUUCCAAGAGGUCGUUCUGACCCCAGGUGACAAUCCCCAAUUCCUUGGGAAACCUGGACGCAUCCAGCUCCAGGGACCUGUCCGGCAAGUGGUGACAAGCACCGUCCAGGGAGAAAGUAAGGCCCUUACAUACACUUUCCUCCCUCAGUGGCUGACCUGCUACCUGACCCCUGACCCUUUCCAUCCCUCCUCAGCUCUGCUGGCCGUCCGCUCUGACUACCACUGUGCCGUGUGGAAGUUUGGUAAACAGUGGCAGCCAACCCUUCUGCAGGCAAUGCAGGUGGAGAAAGGGGCCACAGGGAUCAGCCUCAGCCCUCACCUGCCCGGGGAGCUGGCCAUCUGCAGCCGCUCAGGAGCCGUCUGCCUGUGGAGCCCUGAGGAUGGGUAUUGCCGCUUCCUGUGAAACCCCCCACCCUAACCAACUGAACUCCGCCCUGUUUAGCAUGUCACGACCCUUGAGCCCCUUCCCCAUCAGCCUGUCCCCCUGCCCAUGGCUUGCCUGUCUCCCCAAGGCUGCAGCAAAUCUACAAGGACCCUGAGACCCUCGUGUUCCGGGACUCCUCUUCGUGGCGUUGGGCAGACUUCACUGCGCACCCUCGGGUGCUGACCGUGGGCGACCGCACCGGAGUGAAGAUGCUCGACACUCAGAUGGUCACUAGAGGCUGCUGCUUACCAGCGGCUCUGCUGGGCCCAGACAACCACCCAGCAAACCAAACUCAACCCUGGAUGAAUCUGUGGCCCAAACACGCAGUGGAUCCCACAGUGGGUGCUAACAGUUCUCUCUCUACCUAGUGGACGAGCGCCUUCCCCUGGUGCCGAUGCUGAAGUGGAACCAUGGCCUCCCCUCCCCGCUCCUGCUGGCCCGACUGCUGCCUCCGCCCCGGCCCAGCUGCGUGCAGCCCCUGCUCCUCGGAGGCCAGGGUGGGCAGCUCCAGCUGCUGCACCUGGCAGAAGGGGCGUCGGUGCCCCGCCUGGCAGGCCCCCCCCAGUCUCUUCCUUCCAGGAUCGACUCCCUCCCUGCAUUUCCUCUGCUGGAGCCUAAGAUCCAGUGGCGGCUGCAGGAGCGCCUGAAAGCACCGACCAUAGGUCUGGCUGCCGUCGUCCCGCCCUUGCCCUCAGCGCCCACACCAGGCCUGGUGCUCUUCCAGCUCUCGGCGGCGGGAGAUGUCUUCUACCAGCAGCUCCGCCCCCAGGUGGACUCCAGCCUCCGCAGAGAUGCUGGGCCUCCUGGCGACACCCACCCUGACUGCCAUGCCCCCACAGCUUCCUGGACCUCCCAGGACACUGCCGGCUGCAGCCAGUGGCUGAAGGCCCUGCUAAAAGUGCCCCUGGCUCCUCCUGUGUGGACAGCACCCACCUUCCCCCACCACCAGAUGCUGGGCAGCACAGAGCUGCGGAGGGAGGAAGAGGAAGGGCAGCGGCUGGGUGUGCUCCGCAAGGCCAUGGCCCGAGGGCGGCUCCUGCUGCAGAGAGACCUGGGCUCCCUCCCUGCGGCAGAGCCACCCCCUGCACCCGAGUCAGGCCUAGAGGACAAGCUCAGUGAGCGCCUGGGGGAAGCCUGGGCAGGCCGAGGGGCUGCCUGGUGGGAGAGGCAGCAGGGCAGGACCUCGGAGCCCGGGAGACAGACCAGGCGGCCCAAGCGCCGGACCCAGCUGUCCAGCAGCUUUUCGCUCAGUGGCCAUGUGGAUCCCUCAGAGGACACCAGCCCCCCUCAUAGCCCUGAGUGGCCACCUGCUGAUGCUCUGCCCCUGCCCCCCAUGACCCCGCCCUCCCAGGAGUUGACUCCGGAUGCAUGCGCCCAGGGCGUCCCAUCAGAGCAGCGGCAGAUGCUCCGUGACUACAUGGCCAAGCUACCACCCCAGAGGGACACCCCAGGCUGUGCCACCACACCUCCCCACUCCCAGGCCUCCAGCGUCCGGGCCACUCGCUCCCAGCAGCACACACCCGUCCUCUCUAGCUCUCAGCCCCUCCGGAAGAAGCCUCGAAUGGGCUUCUGAGGACACAAGGUGGGCUGCCCUCAAGCCCCAGAGAGCCCCUCAUCCUUCCUCCGGGACCAGAUGUGCCUUCCACAGUUGAAACUUGAGAAGCAGAGCUCGCCACCUUCUGGAGGCCACUGUGAUGAUGAGCCAAGCAAUUUGGAGCCAAGUUGAAGGGACAGGGCAACAAAAUACAGUAGUAGUUUCUUUUGU